CUUUAUUCUGCUCUUUUUAUUUUUUUUCCUCCUGACCAGAUCUUCCACCACCACUAAAAAUUCUCACACGACUGCUCAAGUCCUGGAUCUCAGACGUCAGGAAAAGACCAAGCAUCCAGAAGCUGCCAAAGAGGAGUUUCCCUCACUUCUCCACUGCUGUAGGAUUGUUCUUUGGGGCACAGAAAACUGCAGAGGCCAGAGACAAGGAUGCUGAAAUCUUUGCUAAUGAGCCUUGUAAUGAGUUUUAUACAGGUACAGAGAGAGCCAUGAUUAGCAGUGAGUGGUUUUGUAUCUCCCAGCAGUGAUGAAUACCUCUGCUCAUGGAUUUGUCACAGACAAACAUGUCCCCAGCCAGGUGCUGUUGUCUGUGGUGGCACAGUGGGUCCAGCCUGUGGUGACUGUGCUGUCACAAGCCUGUCUUAGCCUCAGGUGGUUUUAGGAGAGAUUUGAGCAGGGCUAAAGCUCUUUGGGCAGUGCUUAUAGCUGGGUGCUGCUAAUUCACACACACUGCUGGCUUCCUGGCAGCCUUUUGCAGUGUGGCCAAUGUGGCACAGCUGCCCAAUUAAACUUUACAUCAAGCCAUCCUCUGGGAACUCCACAUUUUGUGGAGACAGUUGCCCUUUCAGUCUGCACAGCCCCAUUUACACUUUUAUUUGCAGGGUCUGAGAUGUGCUGUUUGAUCUUCUUCAUCACUUGCCCUCCUCACCUUCCCUUCAGCUCCUGGAAGAGCUGCAGUUUUUGAGUGCUGGGAUAAGGAUCACAGACAAAUGUUACUGAAUUAUAUUUGCAAAGAAUUUGAGAUCAACAACAACAACAACAAAAAUUGCAGAAGAAUUCUCCUGGAAAUCCAUGAAAACAUCAUCAGAAAGGCAUGGGGAGUAAAGACAAACUGAGGCACACCUUUAUGGUCCAGAAGCUGUUGCUAAACUAGAGACAAAAGCCUCUUUGCCAAUAUUUUCUAUCCCAAAUAUCCUGAGCAGCACCUGUGUGCUCUGCUCUGCCUGGUGCUGACCAUUCCUUUGAGGCUUGGUUCCACGUCCUCAGCCUCUCCUGUUCAGCUGAACAGCUGCCCUGGUCCCUCCUGGGACUCUUCUGUAUUUCUCAGCCUGGUUCCUCAAAGCUGGGAAUUAGAAGAUUUAGGAAAGUGCUCUGGGGCCAGAGGACUGUGAGGAAAGAGUCAGGCCCCAUCAUCUCCAGCUGAAGCUCCUGCUGCUGACCCCAGGUGUUUCCUGAGCACGGAGGGCAGCACACAUCCUCAGCCUGGCAGCAAAGAUUUCUGCUGCAGCUCUCGAAGCCUCUCACAGGAGGCAAGAGGUGAGGUGUGGAAAGCUGUCUGGCAGUGCAUAAAGAGCAGCAAAUGUCACC
RNAcentral lists this long non-coding RNA (1365 nucleotides) under Cyanistes caeruleus (blue tit). Its description in RNAcentral is "lncRNA (ENSCCEG00000011054.1)". The record is from RNAcentral. Lineage: Eukaryota; Metazoa; Chordata; Aves; Passeriformes; Paridae.